GAUGAAUGCGGGCGGCGUGCCUAACACAUGCAAGUCGAGCGGCAGCGAGUUUUACACUGAAUUCUGGAAGCUUCUGGGUAAUAUAGAAGAUUUAUUCAAGAAUUUUGUGUAAAAUGUCGGCGAGCGGCGGACGGCUGAGUAACGCGUAGGAAUUUGCCCCAAAGUGAGGAAUAACUGCCCGAAAGGGUAGCUAAUGCCGCAUAUGGUCUUCGGAUUAAAGCCUUCGGGCGCUUUGGGAGAAGCCUGCGUUGGAUUAGGUAGUUGGUAGGGUAAUGGCCUACCAAGCCGACGAUCCAUAGCUGGUCUGAGAGGAUGAUCAGCCAGACUGGAACUGAGACACGGUCCAGACUCCUACGGGAGGCAGCAGUGAGGAAUCUUCCACAAUGGGCGAAAGCCUGAUGGAGCAACGCCGCGUGAAGGAUGAAGGCCUUCGGGUUGUAAACUUCUUUUAUGAGUGAAGAAUAUGACGGUAACUCAUGAAUAAGCACCGGCUAACUACGUGCCAGCAGCCGCGGUCAUACGUAGGGUGCAAGCAUUAUCCGGAGUGACUGGGCGUAAAGAGUUGCGUAGGCGGUUUAAUAAGUGAAUAGUGAAACCUGGUGGCUCAACCAUACAGACUAUUAUUCAAACUGUUAAACUCGAGAAUGGUAGAGGUAACUGGAAUUUCUAGUGUAGGAGUGAAAUCCGUAGAUAUUAGAAGGAACACCGAUGGCGUAGGCAGGUUACUGGGCCAUUUCUGACGCUAAGGCACGAAAGCGUGGGGAGCGAACCGG
Molecule: ribosomal RNA, 773 nt
Filed under: uncultured Candidatus Saccharibacteria bacterium
Lineage: Bacteria; Candidatus Saccharimonadota
Description: bacterial SSU rRNA
Rfam family: Bacterial small subunit ribosomal RNA
Source: RNAcentral